Portunus trituberculatus (swimming crab) is the source of this 764-nucleotide long non-coding RNA. RefSeq lists it as uncharacterized. NCBI's taxonomy places the organism in Eukaryota, Metazoa, Arthropoda, Malacostraca, Decapoda, Portunidae. The transcript is spliced from 2 exons. The record is from RefSeq and is a predicted model, not a curated record.
AGGUCAGAAGAUUAAUGGCCACAGUCUUCACUAUUUUCAAUCCCUACAUGAGUGUCUGAAGCUGUAUAAAAUCACCAAAUAGUAAGCAGAAAGAACAGGAAAACACAUCAUUGUACUGAAGUGGAUAAAAAUAAACAAGUUCCCUGAAGAAUAAGAAGAAUGACAAGAAUAAAAACUUCAAACCCAGAAAAGAACUCACUGCAAACUGUCACAGGGAAACAAAUGAUUACUGUGGGAUUUAGUGAGGCAAGGAAAGUUGUAUUUUAGAGUACAUUCGCAUCUCAUUAUUUAUUUAUUAUUAUUUUUAUUUAUUAUUAUUUGUUUCAUUGAUUAGCAUCUUGUAUUUUGUUUUGAUUUGAUGCGUGUUGUGUUGUGUUUAGCUAUGGAGACUUUGUUGUAUAGCCUAGAGAUACCCAAAGAUUGUGUGCAUGUAUGUGUGUGUGUGUGUAUGUGUGUUUUAGUUAUAUAGUAGCUCUCAGUAUUAAAUGUAUAUAUAUGUGUGCGUGUGUGUAUGAAUGUGUGAGUGUUCAGAAUGUGUGUGUGUGUGUUAAUCUAUACAUAAGUUUGUAUUGAUCAGAGUAUUAUUAGCCACAAAUACGUAAAUCCCACCUAUACUGUACAUGUGUGUGUGUGUGUGUGUGUGUGUGUGGCAUGCAAGCAUAUUAUGUACUGAAGUAUAUCAAUAAAUCCAAUUACUGUAGCAUAAAACUCCAAAAACAAAACCAAAAAGGAAAAAAUUAUAACAAAUAAAAUAAAUGAAAUAA